UGGGGAAUUUUGCACAAUGGGGGAAACCCUGAUGCAGCGACGCCGCGUGAUUUAGAAGGCCUUCGGGUUGUAAAAAUCUUUUCUAUGGGAAGAAAAUGACAGUACCAUAGGAAUAAGGACCGGCUAAUUACGUGCCAGCAGCCGCGGUAAUACGUAAGGUCCGAGCGUUGUCCGGAAUCAUUGGGCGUAAAGGGUACGUAGGCGGGUAAGCAAGUUAGAAGUGAAAUCCUAUAGCUCAACUAUAGUAAGCUUUUAAAACUGCUCAUCUUGAGGUAUGGAAGGGAAAGUGGAAUUCCUAGUGUAGCAGUGAAAUGCGCAGAUAUUAGGAGGAAUACCGGUGGCGAAGGCGACUUUCUGGCCAUAACCUGACGCUGAGGUACGAAAGCGAGGGUAGCAAACAGG
Molecule: ribosomal RNA, 402 nt
Filed under: bacterium
Lineage: Bacteria
Description: partial 16S ribosomal RNA
Rfam family: Bacterial small subunit ribosomal RNA
Source: RNAcentral